UCAAAAAAACGAUUCCUGGCAAUAUUUACUUUUAAGUAUUUGGAUCAUUUAGAUUUUAUUUAAAUACUCGUUUUUUAAAAUAUAUGUAAUCCGAUUUAUUAGAAUAUAUAUAAAUCUGUUCAAUUUAAAAACUAUUAGAUUUAAUCAGUUAAAAUGUAUGAAUAUGAAUUAAAUAAAUCUAGCCGUGAAACAAACCGGAUAAAUUCUAUGAGUUUGAUUUACAUACAAGUGUCAGGAAACUGACUUUAGCAGAAGCGGAAAUGACGUCUAUUCACACUCCAGUCAGGAGGUGGCGCCAAAAUCAAAAACAGACGCUACAGCACAUGGACUUCGCCAUUUUGCAUUGGACUGGAUCGUCAUCUCACUAGUUUACGAUCGCCAAAUUGUAGGUGAGUAAAGUUAACAAGUUUGAUGUGAUUAUCUAAAAUAUAAUUGUCUGUUGUUUAAUUACAUGUGUGACGCGUUGCAUGUUUCAGAGUAAAAUACACCUCACUACACAGAUGGUCUGUUGGAAUAUACAGCAUCAUUUCAUCGUCUAUAUGGUGGGACAACCUGCUAGACAGGUUGAAGACAUCUGUAUCUACCUCAAAGAAGGCAUGGAGAGACA
Paramisgurnus dabryanus is the source of this 607-nucleotide long non-coding RNA. RefSeq lists it as uncharacterized. The record is from RefSeq and is a predicted model, not a curated record. NCBI's taxonomy places the organism in Eukaryota, Metazoa, Chordata, Actinopteri, Cypriniformes, Cobitidae.